This 257-nucleotide unclassified non-coding RNA is filed under the name Hevea brasiliensis (rubber tree). Lineage: Eukaryota; Viridiplantae; Streptophyta; Magnoliopsida; Malpighiales; Euphorbiaceae. The record is from RNAcentral.
UAGCUCUAACAGGCAGAGCGCUCAGUUUCUUCAUGGAAUUUGAGAGGUUGAUGGUUCGAAUCCGUCCAGAUCUGAUUAUUUUAUACAGGGCUAUGAUGUGGCCGUUCUUGUGCUUGGCCCAAUGGUCCUACUAUCCUGAACCAGAAGGGUGGUCCCUCCGAUCCAAUGGCUCUGUUGAGGCUGAUGUGCGUCUCUCUAGAAUGAGAUCUUUUUAUAAAUUUAUUUUAGCUAAUAUAAAAUUUUAAGACGUCUAGAAG